GCGUCUGUAGCUCAGCUGGAUAGAGCGAUGGCCUUCGAAGCCAGCGGCCGCAGGUUCGAAUCCUGCCAGACGCA
RNAcentral lists this transfer RNA (74 nucleotides) under Deltaproteobacteria bacterium. RNAcentral's name for it is "tRNA-Arg". It matches the Rfam family "tRNA". Rfam says of the family: Transfer RNA (tRNA) molecules are approximately 80 nucleotides in length. Their secondary structure includes four short double-helical elements and three loops (D, anti-codon, and T loops). Further hydrogen bonds mediate the characteristic L-shaped molecular structure. tRNAs have two regions of fundamental functional importance: the anti-codon, which is responsible for specific mRNA codon recognition, and the 3' end, to which the tRNAs corresponding amino acid is attached (by aminoacyl-tRNA synthetases). tRNAs cope with the degeneracy of the genetic code in two manners: having more than one tRNA (with a specific anti-codon) for a particular amino acid; and 'wobble' base-pairing, i.e. permitting non-standard base-pairing at the 3rd anti-codon position. The record is from RNAcentral. Lineage: Bacteria; Pseudomonadati; Myxococcota; Myxococcia.